This 253-nucleotide ribosomal RNA is filed under the name uncultured bacterium. Its description in RNAcentral is "partial 16S ribosomal RNA". It matches the Rfam family "Bacterial small subunit ribosomal RNA", at positions 524 to 776 of the family's 1533-position model. The record is from RNAcentral.
UACGUAGGGCGCAAGCGUUAUCCGGAAUUAUUGGGCGUAAAGAGCUCGUAGGCGGUUUGUCGCGUCUGCCGUGAAAGCCCGGGGCUCAACUCCGGAUCUGCGGUGGGUACGGUCAGGCUAGAGUGAUGUAGGGGAGACUGGAAUUCCUGGUGUAGCGGUGAAAUGCGCAGAUAUCGGGAAGAACACCUAUGGCGAAGGCAGCUCUCUGGGACGGUACUGACGCUGAGACGCGAAAGCGUGGGGAGCGAACAGG